Molecule: long non-coding RNA, 1582 nt
Organism: Salvia miltiorrhiza (redroot sage)
Lineage: Eukaryota; Viridiplantae; Streptophyta; Magnoliopsida; Lamiales; Lamiaceae
Exons: 2
Source: RefSeq, a predicted model, not a curated record
UGGAAAAAGUUUAUAUUAUUAGUAUUACAAAUCAAAAUUCAUAGGAAAAAAAAAGUACCAUAAAAAAGUUCAUAAUUUUAAAAACAAUUAACCAAAAUAUAAAUUGGCCAAAUAUUGGUAUCGGCUAAUCAAAAAAUGAAAAGAAAUUGGUUGAAAAGUAGGCUGCCACGACCUCUCUAAAAGUCACGAAUUGAUCCCCCAAAACAAAUUGAAAAGUAGCUGCAAAAAUUACAUUUACACCCUACAAUUUCUCAUGGGCGAAUCGCGAUCGAUGGGCCAGCUCUCAAAGGAAAAAGGAAGUUAUUUAAAAUUGGAUAAUUGGUGUAUAAAUACACCAACUUUAUUCACUUUUUUAUACUAGUAUUUAACAUGAAUUUUAAAAUCUAGUUAUAAAUACAUAGAUUUUAAAUUUAUUUAAUUUUUGACCCAUUUUUAUAUAUGAUAAAAUUGAUGCUGACUUGUCAAAAUUAAAACUUAGUUGACAAAAUUAAUCAUCUAACUGACACCUGACUAAGAAAUUUCCUCCCCUUCAUUCAAUUUAUGCAAAAAAACCCCUUUCACUUUUACUUAUCUCUAGACUCGCCCUAAGCCGCCUCACUAAAUCCAAGCUUACUAUUGUGUUGAGUGAGGGGCUAUUCACGACAAUUUUUGUUUUGGAGCAUCGACGGCGGCGAUGGUGUGGACGAGGUGUCGUCCUCGUCGGUUUCUAAAGCAGGGGCAGCGGCGAACCACCAUUGGAGGCUGCGCCAUUUUCCAGAGCGAGGGAGCUACUCCUUUCUAGACUGGCGCGUGUCGCGAAAUCUCCAGAUCUGAGAUGGUCUCACCGAUUGUUAGAAACGGCGGCGGCAUAUAUUUCGUAAGUAAGUAAGAAAACAAAAAAACAGGCCCAUUUCUUGAUCAUCAAUUCCCCCAAAUCAAGUCCCCAUUGCUAAAGAUGGGAAGCUGAAAAACCCUAAAAUGGAAGCCUACUCAGCAAUUGAAGCAGCUCCAAGCUGCCCUCGAUGUCUCUCCUCCGACACCAAAUUCUGCUACUACAACAACUACAACGUCUCCCAGCCUCGCUAGUUCUGCAAGGGCUGCCGCCGCUACUGGACCAAGGACGGCUCCCUCUGCAAUGUCCCUGUCGGCGGCGGUUACCGCAAGACCCGCUGAAAGUGCGAGCUGGCGAAAGAACACUGAAAGUUGACCUCCAAGAAUAAACAUGUGAAUGUCGGACUUUCAAUUUGAACGAUCUACCAUGUUCUCAUGCAAUUGCAGCAAGCAAUUAGAUCACGUGGCACAAGGGAUAGUCUUACCACCGAUUGUGACAAGACAGGCUAGUCGACCAAGGCAAUCCUGUAGACGUGGGGGUGGUGAGAGGGCAACACCAUCAUCUACAAUCCAUUCGGACUUAGCCAUUUAGUAGUUAGACGUCGGGCACCAAAGAAACGCAGUGUGUGCGGCAUCGUGGGACACAAGUGUAGGAUGUGUGCAGGAAGAGUCACAUAAUAACUUACCUUAUCGAUUAAUCGUGUUAUUUAAUAGCUGAAAUUGAAAAAAUAAGCUCGUAAUUUUUUAUUCGUUAUUUAUUUUUUAAAAUAAA